UACGGAGGGUGCAAGCGUUUUUCGGAAUCAUUGGGCGUAAAGCGCGUGUAGGCGGUCUUAUAAGUCUGGUGUGAAAGCCCGGGGCUCAACCCCGGAAGUGCACUGGAUACUGUUUGACUAGAGGACGGGAGAGGGAAGUGGAAUUCCAGGUGUAGGGGUGAAAUCCGUAGAUAUCUGGAGGAACAUCGGAAGCGAAGGCGGCUUCCUGGCCCGUAACUGACGCUGAGACGCGAAAGCGUGGGGAGCAAACAGG
This 253-nucleotide ribosomal RNA is filed under the name uncultured bacterium. Its description in RNAcentral is "partial 16S ribosomal RNA". It matches the Rfam family "Bacterial small subunit ribosomal RNA", at positions 524 to 776 of the family's 1533-position model. The record is from RNAcentral.